Molecule: non-coding RNA, 65 nt
Organism: Picea glauca (white spruce)
Lineage: Eukaryota; Viridiplantae; Streptophyta; Pinopsida; Pinales; Pinaceae
Source: Rfam
GCGGGGAUAGCUCAGUUGGGACAGCGUCAGACUGAAGAUCGCGUGUUCGAUCCUCUCUCACCGCA